Hemicordylus capensis (graceful crag lizard) is the source of this 1765-nucleotide long non-coding RNA. RefSeq lists it as uncharacterized. Lineage: Eukaryota; Metazoa; Chordata; Lepidosauria; Squamata; Cordylidae. The transcript is spliced from 3 exons. The record is from RefSeq and is a predicted model, not a curated record.
UCUCAGCUGAUCGGCGGGUGGGCGGGGCUUCCACGGAGGUCUGGUGUAGGCCUCUGUGAAGCCUGAACUCCAGUAGGGCCCAAGCCAGCCAGGAAGGAGGAGGCAGCCAGAGUGGCCUCCACUGUUCUCUGCAGCAGAAGACCCCUUGCUGCCAGAUCAUCAGCAUCUUAGGUGGAAACCAGAAUAGCACAAAGAGCAAAACAUUCAUUAUGUCAGCUGCAGCCACAUAUUACCACCACCGACCUCACCUGGUCCCUGCCAUCAGUUCAUUUUAUUUGUCUCUGCUUGGGGGUGAGUUGAGCAACUGAAAUAGUGUUGUCUCCUCAUUUCUGCCCCUCCAUCGUUGACCCACCCUGGCUGCCUGUGCCCCAUGCUGCCGCCCUGUCUGUGUCUCAACCCAGGGGUGGCUGGCUGGUGCAUCCGUGACCAGCAGUGUGCAGCAGGAGAAGGACCAGAAGAAGAGGGGUUAGUGUGCGUGCACAAUUGUGUGCACCUUUUGUUGUCCCCUUUCCCUAUUUGGCGGUUUUAAAUAGGGACAUCUGUAUUUUGAAAUGCAUUUGGGUGCGGGGAGGGACACUUGGAGAUGUACUGUUGUUGUGUGUUGCUGAAGAAAUUGUUGUUGUGUUGCAUGCUUUUCUUGCAGGUUGUUUCUUGUUUUAACAGGUUCCCCACCCCACCCCAGGUCAUUGUUGUUAUGUUUUGGAGAUAUAUGAUGUUCUAACAUGUGUUUUGCUUGGUUGCUUUGGGUGGAGUGGGUGGGCUUUGUUAAAGUGCAAUUUUUUAAAUAGGCAAGGUUGCUUGGUACCCCAGUAUUUCUUGAAAUCCACCCCCCCAACCCAAUCCAUCCUCACACUGUUCAGUUCACUAAAGAAGGGUUUCCUUUGAUUUUCAGGUUCCCAAGCUUUGACUGCAUCCCUCCCCCCCCGUAGGUGCUGUGCCCUCCCCGCAUCUUCCAUUUUCCCCAUAAUCAAAAGACUUGCCCCCCCCAACUACUCCACCUAACUGUGCGUGCCACCCCCCCACCCAAGGGUCCACCCUUUUCCCAAAUUAAAAAACACACCCAUCCCCAUCCCCAAUUGGCUUAACACCUGACCCACCCCAAUUUCAAAAGGUUACCCUCCCCCUCACUUCAAUUGGCUUUCCCCCCUCCCACAUCAAAAAGUCUUCCCUUCCCCCCAGUUGGCUUUUUCCCAUCAAAUUUCCCUCCCGCCGCCUCCCAAUUAAUUGGCUUUUUUGCCCCUUCCCCCUUCCAAUUUUUUUUUUUUUUUUUGCCCCUUUCUGGCCUUCCUCAUAAAGUCUCCCACCUUUAGAAAAAGUUUAACAUGUCUGACCAACACGAGUGCCGUGUUGCGGGCAGGGCUCGCAGAAGGUUGGCAGGCAGAGGUGGGAGAGGCCUGCGGCAGCUGUGGCACAGAAAAGUGGGAGAGGACGCGGGGAGCCUGAGGAUACCCCGGUCCUCCCCAUUGCACAAUUCUUUGCCCCAGCUGAGGGGUUUGUCCACAGGCUCGAUUUCCCCCAGCCUGCUGCCGGCAAUCGCGGCAGAGGCAGAGGGACUAGGGCUGUGGCAGGUCCCUCCUCGGCAGCACCAGUUGCUGCUGGGGCACCGCCAGUGGUGGUAGAGGAGACUGUUGGUGUGGGAGAGCAGGUAGAGGGCGCUGAGGAUCUUAUGGCUGGCAGCGAUGCAGCCAAGUUCUCCCUCCCUCUUGGGGCCCUUCCCCCAUCCUUUCGCCGCUCAGUGGGUCCCCCCCUCAUGAAGUCCACCACU